GCUAACUUUGAAGUACCCAUUAAAUGGGUUUCUUGUACCCAUUUUUAUUGCUUGUACUGAGUUGUCAAAAAAAGGGUAUUAUUUUCUGACAUUAAAAAGGGUACAUUUUACUCUUCUUGAGGAAUGACUUCAGUCAGCAAUAAUGGGUGAAAACGCCCCUUGUCGUUAUUUUGAGCAGAAAGAUUGAAAUUAUUACCACGAAUUAUAUUUCAUUAAUUAACUGAAAGCAUCAUGGACCCUCGAAGAAGCGGGAUCUGGAACAGGAAGAUACGGAGCAAGCGCCACGGAUUCAGAUGGACCAAUGUUAUUAAUACUCCAAUUAGCACUUUAUUUAAAAGUAAUAAUCUAAUAAAAUUAUUUUCAUUAGACUCUUAUAUGUUGUGUCGUCGGAUAUGUUUAAAAAAUUUCUUUAGAAUCCUUGUUUUCCGUAUGUGCCGGCAAGAGGGGGGUAUUUUUUACCCAUUUUUGUAAAAUCAAUGAGGGGUAAAUAAUACCCAUUUUA
This is a long non-coding RNA of Aedes aegypti (yellow fever mosquito), 502 nucleotides long. RefSeq lists it as uncharacterized. The transcript has 2 exons. NCBI's taxonomy places the organism in Eukaryota, Metazoa, Arthropoda, Insecta, Diptera, Culicidae. The record is from RefSeq and is a predicted model, not a curated record.